UGACCGCUAGCUACAGGCUUAACACAUGCAAGUCGCGGGGCAGCAUGGGGGUUGCUUGCAAUCCCCGAUGGCGACCGGCGCACGGGUGAGUAACGCGUAUCCAACCUGCCCUUCACCACGGGAUAACCCGGCGAAAGUCGGACUAAUACCGUAUGUUGUCCAUUGACGGCAUCCGAUUUGGACGAAAGGUUUGGCGGUGAAGGAUGGGGAUGCGUCCGAUUAGCUGGACGGCGGGGUGACGGCCCACCGUGGCGACGAUCGGUAGGGGUUCUGAGAGGAAGGUCCCCCACACUGGAACUGAGACACGGUCCAGACUCCUACGGGAGGCAGCAGUGAGGAAUAUUGGUCAAUGGGCGUAAGCCUGAACCAGCCAAGUAGCGUGCAGGAUGACGGCCCUAUGGGUUGUAAACUGCUUUUAUGCGGGGAUAAAGUGGCCCACGUGUGGGUUUUUGCAGGUACCGCAUGAAUAAGGACCGGCUAAUUCCGUG
This 488-nucleotide ribosomal RNA is filed under the name uncultured bacterium. Its description in RNAcentral is "partial 16S ribosomal RNA". It matches the Rfam family "Bacterial small subunit ribosomal RNA", at positions 30 to 507 of the family's 1533-position model. The record is from RNAcentral.